GGAUAUAUAGUUGCCACAACUGGUAUUC
This 28-nucleotide non-coding RNA is filed under the name Rattus norvegicus (Norway rat). The record is from RNAcentral. Lineage: Eukaryota; Metazoa; Chordata; Mammalia; Rodentia; Muridae.